Long non-coding RNA from Pipra filicauda (Wire-tailed manakin), 3148 nucleotides. RefSeq lists it as uncharacterized. The transcript is spliced from 3 exons. The record is from RefSeq and is a predicted model, not a curated record. NCBI's taxonomy places the organism in Eukaryota, Metazoa, Chordata, Aves, Passeriformes, Pipridae.
GUGGCUUUUCUGUCCAACGUGCUGUGCUGUGUGUGCCUGCAGGUCAUAUUUAUCUGCCUGUCAGGACUGUCGGAGCACUGGAUGGAGAGCAGGUCAUAUGAAGAGGAUUAGGGAGUAAAAGGCAGCUUGUACUGAAGUGCAGGGAAAGUAUAAAUAUUGAUAUAUAUUGGCACAGUGCCUGGCCUUAAUGCUUAAAAUCCUUUGGAGAGCUGUCUGCAUAUUUACUGUAUUAAUGAUCAAAUGCAAGGCUGUGUUGGGAAAGGUCUUCCAUUUGGAAGUCAGUAGUUGAGACUGUCUUGCCUAUGAAAAAGAGGGAGAAUUUUCGUUAGAGGAUGUAGGAUUCUGGCUGGUAAUAGUCUUAAUUCAAGGUAUUUUUAGAGAAUUGAUUUAAUACAAGCAGAACAAAUGGCCAGAAGUGUAAUGAGAGACAAGUUGAAAUUAGAAAGUAGAUGUGCAUUUUGAAUGUAUUGUCAUAGCAACUGAUUAAAUUCUCCCUCUCUUGCUGUUCUGGGGACCUUUUAAAUGUGCUUUGGCUAAAUAAAAAGUAUUAGACUAUUUCAGAGCCAAAAGGUCAGUUCUUGUUGUCUCUUUUGCACUUUAAUUCUAGUACACUGAUACUUGCUAACCACUUAUAACCCUAGAUGCAGAAUGAGAACUUGGGUUAUUAACAAUAAAGAAGUAAACAGCAGAAAGACUUGACCUUUCUUUUGAAUUGCCCUACAGUGUUAAAAAAUACCAAACAAACCUCCUUCCCCAAAGAAACACCCCCAAAAUACCCCAAGAACUCACCAAACAGAAAAUCACCGACAACCAAAAAGCAGAAGUAACAAACAUGAACAGCAAGUGGAGGAAGAGUUUGAAAGCGGGCUGGACAGAAGCAGAAGUGUUACUGCCCACUCUUAGGCCACUGUGCUGAUUAAAUGGGUGGUGUUAGGUUUAGAUCAGUAGUUCGUUGUUGUUGGGUUUUUCGGUGGUGUUGAUUUUUUUGUUGUCGUUGUGGGGGAUUGUUUGUUUGUUUGUUUUAUUUUGUUUUUUUUCUGUAUUAAAAAUCUGGCUCAGUUACUCUCUAGUUCUGGUGUGUUUUCUUUUCCAGGUGGUUGGUGUUUCUGCAGUGUUUGGCACAGGACUGGGGGAGAUUUUUACCCAGCUUUCUAAAGCUGUAGAUGAAUAGGAGAGACUGAAUGCACUCCCUUUAUUCACCUUUUCAGAGAGUAUCGUCCAGAAUACGAGCGCCUGAGAAAAACACUGGUAAGUGUUUUUAGCUGUUUUACACCUGAACAGUGUAUCUUGGGUCACUUUUAGGCACACAAUUGCCUUUAUGUUGAGAGGGUCUAACAUUUCAUUUACUAGUCGUACUCACUGUGGGAAAACUCCUGUCCUGAAGGAGUCCACCAUUUGCCUUUUUUUUCCUAGAUGUGGUGGAGCAUAUCUUUACAAAAAUAAAGAUUUUGUAAAACAGAUGUUGCUCACUGGUUUAGUGCUAAUAUUUGAGCUAAUUGUGUGAAAAUGAUUGGGAAAUAAGAUUGUGUCUUCCAUUCAGAUGGAUAGAGAGUUCUUAAAAAUAAAUUUCCAAAGGGAUUUGUUGAGACUAUCCCUGUAUCUUCCUGCACCAGUGAAGAGUACUAGUUUGACUUAGUAAGAAAGACUGAAUUGCAGUGCCAAAAUCAGUAGCUCUGCUCACCUUGAGUUGUGGCUGUCCAAAGGACAGUUCUCUGCAGGCACAGCUACACAGAGUUUGGCUUCCCGGCGCUGCUGAAAACGUCCUAGAAUCCCACCUGACUGGAGGUUGCUUUCCACGCUUAGUCAGAAGUUCUGUGAAACCUUAGUUGAAAUGUAAGACCUGCAUAGUGACUUCUGCUCUCUGACUGGGGGACAGGCUGCUGGGUUUGGGUGAGGUUUCUCUUCUCCUAAUGUUUUAAAUGUUCUCAGAAUCCACAGGUAAAUCUUUGUCUAUGGGAGAAAGCUCAAAAUAAACAAAAGAGAGAGCAGCUGGAACACUUGUGGAAGGACAUGGGCAGCGUGUGUGUGCAGGGCAGCACAGUGGCAGGUACCUCCCCAGGAAGAUAAAGUUUACUGCAGAAGUUUUCUGAAGAGUUUGCCUUGUGAAGUAGUACAGUGCUUCUUUGUCCUCACAGCAGAAGUGUGAAAGCAGCUCCAUGUUAGAGGAGCGGGGCUUUAGUUCCUGUGGGGUUGGUCACACUCAGCUCUUCCUGUGUCAGUCACAGGUUUGGAAGAAACCCCGCUGUGUAGCUAAAGCAGUGGACCUACUAGAAAUAAUGAAAUACUUUAGAAAAGGUGAAACAGUCAGAUCAGAAUAUGAGAAAGCUCUGCUGUUGGCUGCACUGUUCCUUAGAUGAGGCGAGUAGGUGCUGAUGGAGUCUGUCCUGUGUCUGGGAUCCACAAGCAGCUUUCUGUCCCCUUAGAGCAGGUGUUCAUUGCUGGGUUUCUGUGCAGAUAGAAACCUUACCUUUAGCAAGCUGGUUGGUGUACAGCUGUUUCUGUUCCCUUCAAGGACCUGAUGCUUCUGCAAUGGGUCCCUCUGAGCUAAUACUAACACGAGGAACUCUCGAUGAAGAGCAAGAAGAGAGGGAGAGUGACGCUGAUGGCAUUGACCAUGAAGGUAAGGGAAUGAGGUCUAAAAGCUGCCUCUCAAGAAAUCCCCUCUAUAUUUCAUGUCCUGGAUGGACUGUAAGGAGAGCCUAGAAAACAAGCAAACAUUCAGUCACCUGACGUGUCAGAAUCUGUAGCAGAAGCUCAGCUGCAAUGGUCAGUGCAGGGAUAUCACUCUGUAACCUUUGUGAAAGUUCAAUUGUAAAUUUUCUAUUCAAGUAAUUAAUAGGUGUAUAAUACACAUAGACCAGAGAACUCGUUAGGCUUGGGGCAUGCAGUGACCUCUGAACCUGAUUGAUGCACAGAUGUGUCCAUCAUCUUUUUGGCCUUACAGUUUCUGCCCCUGGCUCUCUUCCCUUUUCCUGUGACUGUGGUCUUGGAGCAAUCUUCUAAGUUGUUACAGUGUGAUUUUUCUCUUCUAUAGCUCACAGACUUAAUCUUCAUUCUUUCCCUGUUCCACUGAUGGGUAGGAUCACUUAUUUCCUUUGCCCUGUAAUGUAGCUGAAGAUGGAAUAGACUUUCUAUGUUGCUUUGGCUA